Non-coding RNA from Pelobates cultripes (western spadefoot toad), 102 nucleotides. NCBI's taxonomy places the organism in Eukaryota, Metazoa, Chordata, Amphibia, Anura, Pelobatidae. The record is from the annotation of a GenBank genome assembly.
CGGCACUCCAGAUGUUGUGAACUAUAUUUCCCCUGAUGCUUUGCCAGCAUUAGGAGGGGAAGAGCAUUAUGGGAGAUAUGCUUCACAAUAUCUGGAGUGCCG